Hydractinia symbiolongicarpus is the source of this 778-nucleotide long non-coding RNA. RefSeq lists it as uncharacterized. Lineage: Eukaryota; Metazoa; Cnidaria; Hydrozoa; Anthoathecata; Hydractiniidae. The transcript is spliced from 2 exons. The record is from RefSeq and is a predicted model, not a curated record.
UUUUUUUCUUUUUUUUUUCUUUUUUUUCUUUUCUAGCUAGCUAGCUACCUAGCUAUAUACAACAACUGGCAAAUAAACAAAUAAAAAUUGAUAGCUAAAUACAUAUAUUUAUGCGUAAUAAUCCCAAAAGAGAGAGUGGCAUACUAGUUAGCCAAAGUACAGAAAACAACACACAGGGUAGGAUCCGUCAAACAAUAAUCCUCAUCACCCGUUCUCUUUCUCCAACUCGAUUGAUGCCGCAAAUCUCAACAACACACCGUUACAGUCACAGUUUCGUAUCUCAAGAUUUGUCCCAUAUAUGGUGAAAUUGUGUCCAUAUAAGGCAAAUGUUUUCGUCUAGGAAAAAAUAAUGGCGCGACAGCUGCAGCAGAAUGUAAAGGCAGUUCUGGCUCGGAUUUUAAACGUUCUUGCUGAAAAAACUGAAUAUUAUGGGAGUCACAAGGAAUGCUAACUAUAUACAACAGGAUCUUGGGAAGAAAUGACAUUUGCGAUGUGAAUAAUGAGACAUGAAAUGGAUCUACGAAAAGAUUGGCAUACAAAUUUAGCAGCACAUUCUAUGGUCAUAGAGGAAGACAAUAUGUUACCUUAGUUAUAUAUAUUUUUUUAUUUGUUAUAUAUCUUAUACUCGGUAGCAGCAUGAACACUGAAUAUGAAAAAGCUAGACAUGAAACUUAUAAAAACUUAAAUUAAUGUUUGUUCCAAUGCAGUCAAGCAUGUAUAUAUGUAAACCAAAAACAUAUUUGCUUUAUUUUAUGUAUAUAAAAUAAUUUUAUUGAAA